This 601-nucleotide ribosomal RNA is filed under the name Streptomyces sp. YIM M 11391. RNAcentral describes it as "bacterial SSU rRNA". It matches the Rfam family "Bacterial small subunit ribosomal RNA", at positions 86 to 698 of the family's 1533-position model. The record is from RNAcentral. Lineage: Bacteria; Bacillati; Actinomycetota; Actinomycetes; Kitasatosporales; Streptomycetaceae.
AGUGGAUUAGUGGCGAACGGGUGAGUAACACGUGGGCAAUCUGCCCUGCACUUCGGGACAAGCCCUGGAAACGGGGUCUAAUACCGGAUAUGACUCGGGGAGGCAUCUCUUCGGGUGGAAAGCUUCGGCGGUGCAGGAUGAGCCCGCGGCCUAUCAGCUUGUUGGUGGGGUGAUGGCCUACCAAGGCGACGACGGGUAGCCGGCCUGAGAGGGCGACCGGCCACACUGGGACUGAGACACGGCCCAGACUCCUACGGGAGGCAGCAGUGGGGAAUAUUGCACAAUGGGCGGAAGCCUGAUGCAGCGACGCCGCGUGAGGGAUGACGGCCUUCGGGUUGUAAACCUCUUUCAGCAGGGAAGAAGCCUUUAAAGUGACGGUACCUGCAGAAGAAGCACCGGCUAACUACGUGCCAGCAGCCGCGGUAAUACGUAGGGUGCGAGCGUUGUCCGGAAUUAUUGGGCGUAAAGAGCUCGUAGGCGGCUUGUCGCGUCGGAUGUGAAAGCCCGGGGCUUAACCCUGGGUCUGCAUUCGAUACGGGCAGGCUGGAGUUCGGUAGGGGAGAUCGGAAUUCCUGGUGUAGCGGUGAAAUGCGCAGAUAUC